This 372-nucleotide ribosomal RNA is filed under the name uncultured organism. RNAcentral's name for it is "bacterial SSU rRNA". It matches the Rfam family "Bacterial small subunit ribosomal RNA", at positions 526 to 897 of the family's 1533-position model. The record is from RNAcentral.
CGAAGGGGGCUAGCGUUGCUCGGAAUUACUGGGCGUAAAGGGAGCGUAGGCGGACAUUUAAGUCAGGGGUGAAAUCCCGGAGCUCAACUCCGGAACUGCCUUUGAUACUGGGUGUCUUGAGUGUGAGAGAGGUAUGUGGAACUCCGAGUGUAGAGGUGAAAUUCGUAGAUAUUCGGAAGAACACCAGUGGCGAAGGCGACAUACUGGCUCAUUACUGACGCUGAGGCUCGAAAGCGUGGGGAGCAAACAGGAUUAGAUACCCUGGUAGUCCACGCCGUAAACGAUGAUUGCUAGUUGUCGGGAAGCUUGCUUCUCGGUGACGCAGCUAACGCAUUAAGCAAUCCGCCUGGGGAGUACGGUCGCAAAGAUUAA